GCUGCGCUUGGAUUUCGUUCCCU
This 23-nucleotide microRNA is filed under the name Eptesicus fuscus (big brown bat). RNAcentral's name for it is "efu-miR-191". Its record names the gene efu-miR-191. The record is from miRBase by way of RNAcentral. Lineage: Eukaryota; Metazoa; Chordata; Mammalia; Chiroptera; Vespertilionidae.